RNAcentral lists this ribosomal RNA (68 nucleotides) under uncultured fungus. Its description in RNAcentral is "partial 18S ribosomal RNA". The record is from RNAcentral. Lineage: Eukaryota; Fungi.
CUUGGUCAUUUAGAGGAAGUAAAAGCGUAACAAGGUUUCAGCUACACUUCCGCUGCGGAAGGAUCAUU